This is a non-coding RNA of Cricetulus griseus (Chinese hamster), 1550 nucleotides long. The record is from RefSeq and is a predicted model, not a curated record. Lineage: Eukaryota; Metazoa; Chordata; Mammalia; Rodentia; Cricetidae.
GAGGCCGCCAUCUUUGUUCAGGGAAGAGAACACUUCCGGUUCGAAGCUACUGGGCGGGGUGCCUUGUCUGGGCUACCGAGGCGGAACCGGGUCUCAAGCUUCCUGCGUUCCCAGCUCUGCGCCUAGCUGAACGCAUAGCAGAAGCCUUCAUGUCACCUUGUGGAACUAUGAAAGCUAGCCAGCAGAGAGGAUGCUUCCAGCUCAGUUCUCGACUGAUUUCUCUACAUCAUGGAACCAAGCUGUGUAGUCUUCAGAAAGAAAAUGCUUUCAUGGAACCAAGAUGUCCAAAUCAAGAUACCCUGUGCACAGCUGUCACAGAGAACAGUAGAGGUCCUAAAGAAGAAAUUGUAUUUUGGUGUUGGUAGCCAAGAAAGAAGAUAGUCUUUGCCCUCUUCCAACCCAAAUAGCUUAAACUACCAGACCAGUCACUUCAAGGAUGUGGCUAUUGCAUACAUCAACUAACAGCAGCCGUGGUUAACUACAAGAUCAAGCCAGUCAAAAUUUCAGCAUGGAUGGGAGACGGUCCCCAAGACCCUGUCCCUACUGGAGGAGCUAUUGGCAGUUGAUGGCCGUUGCAGGAGGGAGAGUCACUGUCCUUUGGGUAUUUGGCUGCUGGUAGGUUGCUCAUGCCCCAGUGAAUGGCUAUAUUCCCAUGCACCAUGUGGUAUAUGGGUAGUGCUAAUUCGACUUAGGGAGUUAUUGAUAACAACAAUAAUUUUAAAAAAAGACAUGAAGUUGGGGCACUAGAGGGAGAUGGAGGGCAAUAGUGAUGGAUGGAUAUGAUCAAAAUGUACCAUAUACAUGUAUGGUUUUUCAAAGAACAAAAAUAUUAUUCAUAAAAAACUUUGUUGACCCAUCCCCUCACAUAUUCAUGUUCUCUAUUCUCCCCCUUCCACCCCUGCCUGACAGUGGCUUCCUCCAUUUAAGGUGUAUCAAGGUUCACCCACGUUUUAGCAUGUAUCAGUAUUUCAUUCCUUUUGUAGCCAAGUUGCACUCCGUUAUAUACAUACCAUAGCUGUUGGUUCAUCCACCUGCCGAUGCAGCGGCUGAAGCUGAUACCUUUGGGCUGCUAUGGACACUGGUCUGUGUUUGCUUGAGUGCCUGUUUCUAAUACUGUCAAGUAUGUGUCUCAGAGUGGACUUGCUGAGUCAAACUGGCUUCCUCGGCGAUGACAUUACUCUCCAUGUCCCCUGGAAGGACGGAGAGUUCAGUUUCUCCAUUUUCUUUAGUAUCAUGACUGUGUUAUUGACUGUGAAGUGGGCUUUCAUUUUGAAUAUUCAUCUAUUUCAUGAAGGGUCUCCCGAAUUCAUGUUGGCCUCAAAUUCACCAUGUCUCUGAUAAUGACCCUACCGGCUUCAUUUCGGUUUUCACUUUCCGAGUGGCCAUACCUUGAACGUCUUCCCAUACACUUAUCAACCAUAUGCACAGAUACUCGGAGAAGUAGCUGCUGAAGAAAAUAUUUUUCCUUUUUCUUUAAGAAGUGUUUUUAACCGUGUGGGUGUUUUUCCUGGAAGUAUGUCUAUGCAUCACUUGUUUUCCCAGUGCCCAUG